RNAcentral lists this long non-coding RNA (3972 nucleotides) under Homo sapiens (human). RNAcentral describes it as "HSALNT0047108". The record is from RNAcentral. Lineage: Eukaryota; Metazoa; Chordata; Mammalia; Primates; Hominidae.
UGGAGACUUAGCAUUGGUACUGUAAGAAAAAGCCAGCCUAAAGCAUUCUCCUAAGUGACAAGAAAAAAAUAAUGUCAUGGACAACAAGAAAAAAACACAUUUUUGCCUUAGGGCCUGAACUAGUCUAGGCCAUUUAGCCUGCCUGAUAGGUCAGACUGCCAAAUAAGAGAAGCAAGAGUUGGGAGAGAUAUCUCUGCUUCCUCCCUUUUUAGGGGAUGGUAAUCUCACCAACUUGUAAAGCAUGCCCUACCCCAAAACACCAGACCGAACAACUGUCUUGGUUUGGUCCAGUGCUCUCACCAAGGUCCUCAAGAGGUGAUCACAGGAAGUUAGUGGGAAAAGAAAGGGGAGUGAAGUAGAGAUGGGGGAAAGCAUGCGCAAGGCUGUCUAAUUGAGCUGAUUUUCACUGCGCAUAGCAGCGGGUUACUACUGCUGGGGGCCUGCAAGGAACAGUGGAGAAUGUGAUUCAAAAUUGCUCCUCCAAAUGACAAGUGAGGUCUGAGUCUGGCAGAAUUGUGGCACAGGGACCUAUUUCAUUUGCUAUGACUCCCACCAAUCAGGUGAGCAAUUCUUCUCCCUUUGGUGAGCAUAUGGGGGUGAGAGUGGCAUCCAAUGUCAUUCACCAUUUAUCAAGGCAAGGAAAGAAGCCCUGGUUUUACUGUACAGUGCCUAAAAAAUAAAGCAUCUAGAAAAGCUAAAUAUUAUAUCGGCCUAAUGUGCACUCUAUGAGUAGAGGCUUGUCUGCUUUUCAUUUUGAGGUCUUCUGAGACUUCCUAACAUGGCCAAGAAAACUCUUGGAUAUACUUUGGUGUUUGGGUUGUACCAAGCUUAUAGUCCCGCUUGAAAAUAAUGGUAUAUUAGUUAUCUAUUGCUGCAUAACCAAUUACCCCUAAGGUUGGAGGCCUAAUACAACAAAGAUUCAUGAUCUCAAAGUUUCUGAGUCAGGAAUUCAAGAGCAGCUUAGCUGGUGGCUAUGGCCUAGGGUCUCUCAUGAGGUUGCAGUUAAGACUUGACAACGUUGCAGUUUGCCUGAAGGGCUUAACUGGGGUUAGGGGAUCUGUUUGCAAGAUGGCUCACUCACAUGGCCAUUGGCAAGAAGCCUCGGUUCCUCACUGACAACUAGCAGGAGGCCUCAGCUGCUCUGCAUGUAGCACCCUCCAUGGGAUGGUUUUGCGUCCUCAUGAUACAGCAGAUGUCCUCCCUCAGAGCAAGUGAUCUAGGAGAGACAGCAAGAUGGAAGAUGCAGUAUCUUCCAGGAUCAAUUGUUGUAAAUCAUACUUCAUCACUUUUGCCAUAUAAUAUUUUUUAGAGGUAAGUCACUAAAAAUAGUCCACACUUGAAAGGAAUUAAGCUCCAUUUUUUAAAGGAAAGUAUAUUAAAUAAUUUGUGAGCAUAUUUUAUUUAAAGCUACUCACCACAAGUGGGAUGGCCACUGGAGUCUGGAGAGUUUCAAACUGUAACUCCUUGAAUUCAGCUGGAGUCAGUAUAGCAUAGCAGAGCAGGGUGAGAUUCAGGUUCCAAUGGACUCAAGGGUGCGACCUGGCCAAGACGAGCUCCUGGGAGUGCCACCUGUGCCAUCUCGCAAACCCCACACUCAGAACGACUUCAUCUUUGGUUUAAUACUCUGUUGCCAUCUUGAAAUUAAAAUUCUUGGUAAUUCUUAGUAAUUUUGUCUUUGUAUCUGUGUUUUGUAAGUGAAGUCCAACGAUACCAUGGAGCAUGUGCAGGAGCAGAGGAGAUAGCAACAAUAAAAGCGUUUACUGCCAUUUCUUGCUGUCCUAUUUGCAUAUAGUGUUCAUAAAAUCCCAUGAGCACGGGAUUCCGAUGAGUCUACAUUGCAUGGGAGCUCAGAAGGGACUCAAAGCAAGCACACGAAAGCAUUUCCAUUUUGCCUGGCUCUGGGAACAAAGCCAAUGUCUGCUUUAGAGGAACAGAGAUUUCCACACAGCGAAUGAGAAAAAGGACACAGACCCAGGAUUCAGAAAGGAAAUGAGGACAGAGACUAACACUGUCUAAAUACAUAAAGGCAGAAGACAUUUUCUCAGGGAAUUUGUCUCAUAUGCGACCUGGAUAUUUUGCCCAUAAUUCCAGGAUGUCUGCCUGGCUGGAGAGAUGUUUGGAGCUCAUCUGCCCCAAAGGGAGGGAAGAGUUAUGUGGCACUGCACUAACGAGCUGACAUGGAACCUUAUGUACACAGGAAUAACUUAAGGAAAGCAUUUCCCCUUUACUUGAGAGUUAUCCUCUGCGCGAUCCUACAAAAAUCUUCAGAGAGGAAGUCUCUGGAAUGUAGCUGUCCUGUGCAUUGAUAGAGCAUUGCUUUAUUUAGUGGGUUCUCCGACAUUUAUCUAGGCAUGUGUUCACAGCACUUUAAAGUGUCAUGUAACAGGCUCAAGAUUUAGUUUCUUAGAGCCAGAAGCAUGGGCAGAAGCCCACUGUGGGGUGUGAAUGGAUGAGUUUCAGGCUGAUAAUACUCACAUCCCUGCUCGUCAAAGCUCUGAACUAAUUGAUACCUAGACCCAGGAAUUCACUAGAGAUCAUCAGCUUAAUUGCUUGGGAAACUGAACUGGAGAGCACAUUAAAAUCUGAAGCCAAAGUAGGUGGCAACCUUAUAUUUCCUCUUAAGUUGAAACGUUGGGACCCAAGGCUGAAUUGCAUUUGCAGAGCUGAUGCUUACUCAGACACGAGGAAAACUGUGCCUUCUCCUUGUCCAGGGACGGAGAGGCUCUUGGGGCUGGGGGCAGGGUGGAGAGUGAGGCCCCAUGUAUUCUGACUUUUAACUUCGCUCACUGCAGUCAAGCAGGAACAUGGAUGAGUGGAUGAUGAUUCUUCUAUGUCUCAUCAAUCAAAUAAAUCUCCCCCUCCCGUGUGGAGAUGUCAACUGGGGUGGAAGGAAGGUCAGAGUUCUCAAGAAUGAUCCUGUCAGGGUAGAAGUUGCUUUCUUUGGAAACAUGAUACAGACCAGGGGUAAGAGAGAGCACGGAUGCUGAAUGCUGGACACUAGCUGCCUGGGUUUCAAUUCUCCUUGGGUCAUUGACUGGAUCACUUUAGAAAGGUUCUUAUAACCUCUCUAAGCCUCAGUUUCUUCAAAGUAGAAAAGGGCCAGGUGCAGAGGCUCACACCUAUAAUCCCAGCACUUUGGGAGGCUUAGGCGGGAGGAUGGCUUGAGUGCAGGAGUUUGAGACCAGCCUGGGCAACAAAAUGAGACCUCGUCUCUAAAAAAAAAAAAAAAAAAAAAAAAAAAAAAAAAAAAAAAAAAUUUUAAGUCAGCUGGGCAUAGUGGCACAUGCCUGUAGUCUCAGCAACUCACGAGGCUGAAAUGGGAGGAUGGCCUGAGCCCAGAAGCUCAGGCUGCAGUGAGCUAUGAUUGCACCACUGCACUCCAGCAUGGGCAAUAGAGGAAGACUCUGGCUCAAAAAGUAAAAAUUUAAAAAACAACCCGGGGAUAGAUCCUUUUCCGUUCCACUGAAGCUUGCAGAGAAAAGCGGGCUGUGAGAAGCAAGGCCCCGGAGGGGAGGCAGACAGACCCUGAGCCGUGCAAAUUUGUGCAAAUGCCUGGAUUUGCCCCGAAGGCAGAGAGGGUGGGGAGCUUCAGAGACCAACAGGGGGAAAUUUGUACAUAGAGACAUGCAGAGAGAGGAGCUGAUGUGAAGGCAUGGAGAGAUUUUCAUCUACAAGCCAAGGAAUGCCUGAGCUACCAGAAGCCAAGAGAGAGGCAAGGAACAGAGUCUGCCUCACAGCCCUUAAAAGCAAACAACCCUGCUGACAUCUUACGUUUGAACUUCCAGCUUCCAGAACUGUGAGACAAUAAACUUCUGUUGUUUAAGCAACUCAGUUUGUGGUACCUUGUUAUGGCAGGCCUAGCAAAUUAAUACACCUUCUUACUAAAAACAACCAUAAAACUGCCAAAAUAUAUGAGGAAACUGUCUUUAGGUAUUUGGACAACAUGCGGUACGGGGCUGUGAUUCUUGAGAG